Potamilus streckersoni is the source of this 74-nucleotide non-coding RNA. The record is from the annotation of a GenBank genome assembly. NCBI's taxonomy places the organism in Eukaryota, Metazoa, Mollusca, Bivalvia, Unionida, Unionidae.
UAACCGGUGGCCUAGUGGUUAGAGCGUCCGCCUCAGAUGUUAGAUGUCAUGGGUUUGAACCCCAGCCGAAUUAA